AUACGUAGGGGGCGAGCGUUGUCCGGAUUUAUUGGGCGUAAAGGGUGCGUAGGCGGCCUUGUAAGUCAGAUGUGAAAGAUCAUGGCUUAACUGUGGUAAGCAUUUGAAACUGCAGGGCUUGAGUACAGGAGAGGAGAGUGGAAUUCCUAGUGGAGCGGUGAAAUGCGUAGAUAUUAGGAGGAAUACCAGUGGCGAAGGCGACUCUCUGGACUGAUACUGACGCUGAGGCACGAAAGCGUGGGGAGCAAACAGGAUUAGAUACCCUGGUAGUCCACGCUAUAAACGAUGAGUGCUAGGUGUCGGGUGUCAAACCUCGGUGCCGCAGUUAACACAUUAAGCACUCCGCCUGGGGAGUACGGCCGCAAGGCUGAAACUCAAAUGAAUUGGCGGGG
RNAcentral lists this ribosomal RNA (392 nucleotides) under uncultured bacterium. RNAcentral describes it as "partial 16S ribosomal RNA". It matches the Rfam family "Bacterial small subunit ribosomal RNA", at positions 523 to 918 of the family's 1533-position model. The record is from RNAcentral.